RNAcentral lists this ribosomal RNA (406 nucleotides) under uncultured bacterium. RNAcentral describes it as "partial 16S ribosomal RNA". It matches the Rfam family "Bacterial small subunit ribosomal RNA", at positions 30 to 526 of the family's 1533-position model. The record is from RNAcentral.
AUUGAACGCUGGCGGCAGGCCUAACACAUGCAAGUCGAGCGAGCGGCGGACGGGUGAGUAAUGUCUGGGAAACUGCCUGAUGGAGGGGGAUAACUACUGGAAACGGUAGCUAAUACCGCAUACCAUCAGAUGUGCCCAGAUGGGAUUAGCUAGUUGGGGGGGUAAUGGCUCACCAAGGCGACGCUCCCUAGCUGGUCUGAGAGGAUGACCAGCCACACUGGAACUGAGACACGGGCCAGACUCCUACGGGAGGCAGCAGUGGGGAAUAUUGCACAAUGGGCGCAAGCCUGAUGCAGCCAUGCCGCGUGGAUGAAGAAGGCCUUCGGGUUGUAAAGUACUUUCAGCGGGGAGGCGUUACCCGCAGAAGAAGCACCGGCUAACUCCGUGCCAGCCGCCGCGGUAAUAC